This 631-nucleotide ribosomal RNA is filed under the name Microcella sp. RNAcentral's name for it is "bacterial SSU rRNA". It matches the Rfam family "Bacterial small subunit ribosomal RNA", at positions 217 to 858 of the family's 1533-position model. The record is from RNAcentral. Lineage: Bacteria; Bacillati; Actinomycetota; Actinomycetes; Micrococcales; Microbacteriaceae.
GGUCAAGGAUGGACUCGCGGCCUAUCAGGUAGUUGGUGAGGUAACGGCUCACCAAGCCGACGACGGGUAGCCGGCCUGAGAGGGUGACCGGCCACACUGGGACUGAGACACGGCCCAGACUCCUACGGGAGGCAGCAGUGGGGAAUAUUGCACAAUGGGCGCAAGCCUGAUGCAGCAACGCCGCGUGAGGGACGACGGCCUUCGGGUUGUAAACCUCUUUUAGUAGGGAAGAAGCGAAAGUGACGGUACCUGCAGAAAAAGCACCGGCUAACUACGUGCCAGCAGCCGCGGUAAUACGUAGGGUGCAAGCGUUGUCCGGAAUUAUUGGGCGUAAAGAGCUCGUAGGCGGUUUGUCGCGUCUGCUGUGAAAACCCGAGGCUCAACCUCGGGCCUGCAGUGGGUACGGGCAGACUAGAGUGCGGUAGGGGAGAUUGGAAUUCCUGGUGUAGCGGUGGAAUGCGCAGAUAUCAGGAGGAACACCGAUGGCGAAGGCAGAUCUCUGGGCCGUAACUGACGCUGAGGAGCGAAAGCGUGGGGAGCGAACAGGAUUAGAUACCCUGGUAGUCCACGCCGUAAACGUUGGGAACUAGAUGUGGGGACCAUUCCACGGUCUCCGUGUCGCAGCUAACGC